UACAGAGGUCUCGAGCGUUAGGCGGAAUCACUGGGCUUAAAGCGUGUGUAGGUGGAUGCCUAAGUACCUUGUGAAAUCCCACGGCUUAACCGUGGAACUGCUUGGUAUACUGGGUGUCUUGAGUCACUCAGGGGCGAGCGGAACAAAUGGUGGAGCGGUGAAAUGCGUAGAUAUCGCUUGGAACGCCGAAGGUGAAAACAGGCUGCUGGGGUUGCGCCGACGCUGAGACACGAAAGCCAGGGGAGCAAACGGG
RNAcentral lists this ribosomal RNA (253 nucleotides) under uncultured bacterium. RNAcentral describes it as "partial 16S ribosomal RNA". It matches the Rfam family "Bacterial small subunit ribosomal RNA", at positions 524 to 776 of the family's 1533-position model. The record is from RNAcentral.